UGUCGGUCCCCCCGCAACGAUUACCCGUCAACCUGGUCAGGUCCGGAAGGAAGCAGCCACAGCGGGAACAU
RNAcentral lists this signal recognition particle RNA (71 nucleotides) under Pseudomonas aeruginosa. RNAcentral describes it as "partial signal recognition particle sRNA small type". It matches the Rfam family "Bacterial small signal recognition particle RNA", at positions 1 to 71 of the family's 97-position model. From Rfam's summary of the family: The signal recognition particle (SRP) is a universally conserved ribonucleoprotein involved in the co-translational targeting of proteins to membranes. Archaeal SRP consists of a 7S RNA and homologues of the eukaryotic SRP19 and SRP54 proteins. The record is from RNAcentral. Lineage: Bacteria; Pseudomonadati; Pseudomonadota; Gammaproteobacteria; Pseudomonadales; Pseudomonadaceae.